Molecule: small RNA, 556 nt
Filed under: Pongo abelii (Sumatran orangutan)
Lineage: Eukaryota; Metazoa; Chordata; Mammalia; Primates; Hominidae
Description: retained intron
Source: RNAcentral
GAUGUUGAAUUUGGAAAUUCGAGGGGACGCUGGUGGACGGAUUGGGUGCAAGGAGUUGGUGUUGAUGGAGGAGCAGGACGCCAGAGUCCCAGCCCUGGAACCAUUCAGAGUGGAGCAGGCACCACCUGUAAUCUACUAUGUCCCUGACUUCAUCUCCAAAGAAGAGGAGGAGUAUUUGCUUCGACAGGUUUUUAAUGCCCCAAAGCCAAAGUGGACCCAGCUCUCUGGGAGAAAGUUACAGAACUGGGGUGGGCUUCCUCAUCCCCGGGGGAUGGUUCCUGAGCGGCUGCCCCCAUGGCUCCAGCGCUACGUGGACAAAGUGUCAGACCUCAGCCUCUUUGGAGGCCUCCCAGCUAACCAUGUCCUCGUGAACCAGUAUCUGCCUGGGGAGGGCAUCAUGGUAACCACACACCCUCGGCCAGUGUCCCCCCACUCAGACUUCUGAGCUGUGCUGGGGCAGGGGACCCUGUGCCCACCCUCACUCAUUAGGCAGCCACAUCUCCCAAACAGGCAUUCACCUCCCUGUCCCUGGCUUGGGAAGCCCCACUUUGACCCA